AACGAACGCUGGCGGCAUGCCUAACACAUGCAAGUCGAACGAGACCUUCGGGUCUAGUGGCGCACGGGUGCGUAACGCGUGGGAACCUGCCCUUAGGUUCGGAAUAACUCCCCGAAAGGGGUGCUAAUACCGGAUAAUUUCUUCGGACCAAAGGUUUAUCGCCUUUGGAUGGGCCCGCGUUGGAUUAGCUAGUUGGUAGGGUAAAAGCCUACCAAGGCGACGAUCCAUAGCUGGUCUGAGAGGAUGAUCAGCCACACUGGGACUGAGACACGGCCCAGACUACUACGGGAGGCAGCAGAGGGGAAUAUUGGACAAUGGGCGAAAGCCUGAUCAAGCAAUGCCGCGUGAGUGAUGAAGGCAUUAGGGUUGUAAAGCUCUUUUACCCGGGAUGAUAAUGACAGUACCGGGAGAAUAAGCUCCGGCUAACUCCGUG
Molecule: ribosomal RNA, 433 nt
Filed under: uncultured bacterium
Lineage: Bacteria
Description: partial 16S ribosomal RNA
Rfam family: Bacterial small subunit ribosomal RNA
Source: RNAcentral